Molecule: ribosomal RNA, 470 nt
Filed under: uncultured bacterium
Lineage: Bacteria
Description: bacterial SSU rRNA
Rfam family: Bacterial small subunit ribosomal RNA
Source: RNAcentral
UUUGUGGCCUAACACAUGCAAGUCGAACGGUAACAGGAAGAAGCUUGCUUCUUUGCUGACGAGUGGCGGACGGGUGAGUAAUGUCUGGGAAACUGCCUGAUGGAGGGGGAUAACUACUGGAAACGGUAGCUAAUACCGCAUAACGUCGCAAGACCAAAGAGGGGGACCUUCGGGCCUCUUGCCAUCGGAUGUGCCCAGAUGGGAUUAGCUAGUAGGUGGGGUAACGGCUCACCUAGGCGACGAUCCCUAGCUGGUCUGAGAGGAUGACCAGCCACACUGGAACUGAGACACGGUCCAGACUCCUACGGGAGGCAGCAGUGGGGAAUAUUGCACAAUGGGCGCAAGCCUGAUGCAGCCAUGCCGCGUGUAUGAAGAAGGCCUUCGGGUUGUAAAGUACUUUCAGCGGGGAGGAAGGGAGUAAAGUUAAUACCUUGCUCAUGACGUACCCCAGAGAGAUUAACCCCGCCUUA